Pimephales promelas (fathead minnow) is the source of this 2396-nucleotide long non-coding RNA. RefSeq lists it as uncharacterized. Lineage: Eukaryota; Metazoa; Chordata; Actinopteri; Cypriniformes; Leuciscidae. The record is from RefSeq and is a predicted model, not a curated record.
UGCAUCUGAACUCUUCAUUUAUAUAUAUAUAUAUAUAUUAUCCAUUAAGAAGACAGGCUCUGAGGUGCAAAUGACGUAUGAAAAAAAAGCCACUGUGGCUCCCCCUAUGGAGUGAAACCGUCAGGUUCCAGAAGUAAAAAAUCCAUAGGGAAAUUAAUUUUGAAUGAUAACUUAUGAAUAUUUUAAAGAUAAACCUACUCUAAGCUAUGAGGUAGUUAAUCCAUGUUUGUUUCUGCUGAUGCCUUCAGCCUGCAUUAUUUCAGCUUAUCUUUUACAUUAAUUGUGUUUAACAGCAGAAAGCAUUGUGGAAAAACUACAUUACCAAUGAUACUGUACAGAAAGUUACACCAAUCAGAGUCGAAAGAAACUGAACGUGCCAAGAGUUUUUAGCUCCGCCCACUCCCAUGAAGCACUUCGAAUGACAUAAUCUUGUCGAUCUCCAUACGCUCUCAAAAUACUUGUAUGUUUGUAUAUACAGACAGACAUUUUGAAAAACUUUAAAGAUGUUGUUUUUUUAUGUAUAAUCAACAUUUGUAAAUGUGUAGUUUUAUUUUUCUAAUUCGAUUAUGCCGUUCGCAAUGCUUCAUGGGAUUUGUUUCCCUCAAAUUCAUUAGGAUAUUACUGCAAUACUAUAUGAAGUGAACUGCUUGGAAAAAAGAGUAAUGUUAUGCUCCUAGGUGGACUGGGCUCGGGGUGCAACAAUGUAAGAUUUAUUAAAGCAUAAAAUAGAAAACAUUUAGGAGGCAAACCUCACAAUGUAACUGUAUAUAAAUAUUUCAAUAAACUAACUUGAGCCAUUAAAUGAAACUAACACCACUUUUAAGUCCCAGCAGUGAAAUUUUUGAUUUAUGUUCAAAUUUGUCUUUUGAUAUUUCAUAAAUAUAUUCACAGUGCAAUUACACACCUUGAAAAAAAAUGAAUUACUGAUAAAUGUGAUUAAAUAUAAUAUUAUGAAGCAUUUAUAGCUCAAAACACCGUUUUUGUUAAUGUCCCACACCCGUGGUCUCAUCAUCUAAACAUCAUCUUUUCUGCUCUAUUGUGUGUCCUUACCAUUCAGCUUAAUAAUUGUGAAUUUUGAACUACAUUUUAAAAAUAAUUGCAUAAUACUGUUGAAUUCAUGUAUAUUAAGAUGCUAAGAGACAAAACUUAUGUGCAAAAAUGGGAUUUCACCAACAUGUCUUUACCGCAGUAGAUUUAGGUGUUGCGGUAAAGACCUUGUGUUGCGGUAGAAACAAAUUCAAGGUUUACUGUAUAUUAAUUCAGUAUAUUAUUAGUACUGAAGUAUAUAUUAAUAUGUAAACAUGCCAUUUUUUGUCGUGGCAGUUUAACAUUGUGUCCUUUUUCGACACAAGAUGUCAUUACCGCAGCACUGCUCUAUUUUCAUUUUCAUUUGCAAAAAAAUGUUUUUACACUUAAGAUGAGUUGAAAUUGCAACAUCUGUCAUAAAAAGUUAAAUAUGUUAUCUUUUGUUAUCAUAUUUUAUGGAAACAUUUGACAUUUAAGGUUACUGUAAAUUUUACAUGUACAUGAUGGCACAGAAAAAAAAUAUAAAAUUCCCUAUUUUGUAUAUUAUUUUUUUAAAUCAGUAUUUACAAAACCGCAUCAAAUUUGGAAAAAGCUAUUUAAAUAUAUUACCUUUUUUAGUAGAAAUUGCUUAAGAAAAAUGUAUAAAACGUUAUUGUAACGUUGCAAACAUGUUCUAGAUUAAAAUCUUAACAACUGGAUUAUAUUUUGUGUACAUUUUAAAUGUAUUACAGAUGUGGUGGUUAAAAUUUAAAUUCAUAGACUAGAAUUUUUUAAUUGGGUUACUCGAAAGUACCCGUAGUUGCAGAAACACCACUGUUGACAGAACAGCUUUGCUUUAUAUUUUUACUAAAUGUCAAGAGUAUUUAUGUAGCUAGAGAUUACUUUGGUGCUAUAUAAUAAUAAUGACCUGAUUUUUUUUUUUCCAUUAAAAUAUUCCACUUUUUUAUCUUCAACAUAACUCACUGUACUGUAUAAAAAUGUAAUAAAUACACAACCGUUCAAAAGUUUGGGUACAGUACAAUUUUUUUAUGUUUUUAAGACUCUUAUUCUCACCAAGGCUGCAUUUAUUUGAUAAAAAUACAGAAAAAUAUAUAUUUUGGGGGAAUAUUAAUACAGUUUAUAAUAGCUGUUUUCUAAUUUAAUCAUAUAUUUUAAAAAUGUAAUUUAUUCCUGUGAUCAAAGCUGUAUUUUCAGCAUCAUUACUGCAGUCUUCUAUAUGAUGAUUAUAAUAUGAUAAUUUGACGCUCGAGAAACAUUUCUGAUUAUCAUCAGUUGAAAACGGGUUAAUAUUUUGUGCAAACUGCAUCUUUGAUGAAUGGAAAGUUGAAAAGAACAGCAUUUAUUUAAAAUAAAAACCAUGUGUGACGAUG